Molecule: RNA transcript, 2454 nt
Organism: Apis florea (little honeybee)
Lineage: Eukaryota; Metazoa; Arthropoda; Insecta; Hymenoptera; Apidae
Gene name: hexamerin 70b
Source: RefSeq, a predicted model, not a curated record
GCGUAAUUACAUCGAUCGAAUCGGCUAAAUUGCACCCUACCCUAUCUUUAUCAACGAUUAAAAGGCAAAAAAACGCAUAAGAUAAACCGUCUACUUUCACCACCCUCGCGACCUUACCCUAAAUCGACCCGAACGAUACACAUUAUCGAUCUGUUUUAUCGAAGUCCAACAAUUUCGAGUUCGAGUAUAUAAACUGGUGACUGGCCCGGUCUCUUCCAACUACGGUUCAACGAAUGAUCGUGAUCAUGAAGGCCGGAUUCCUAUUUUUCGCGAGUCUCUGCUUGCUUGCCCAGGCAAUGCACCAGGUCAACAAGGUCGCCGACAAGACAUAUGUUACUAGACAGAAGAACAUCUACGAACUCUUCUGGCACGUGGACCAACCGACCGUUUACCAUCCAGAACUCUACCAGAAGGCGCGCACUUUCAAUAUCGUUGAAAAUCUCGACAAUUAUAAUGACAAAGAAGCGGUGAACGAGUUCAUGCAACUCUUGAAACAUGGAAUGCUUCCGCGUGGCCAAGUGUUCACGAUGAUGGACAAGGAAUGCACCACCAAGCCGUGGUGCUUUUCCGCGUUCUGCACAGCGCCAAGACAUUCGACGUGUUCUAUAACACAGCUGUCUGGGCCAGAUUCCAUGUAAACGAACAGAUGUACGUGUACGCGUUAAGCGUAGCCGUGAUCCACCGUCCUGACACCAGACUGAUGAAAUUGCCGCCAUUGUACGAGAUGAUGCCGCAUUUAUUCUUCAAUGAUGACGUUAUGCAGAGAGCUUACAACAUCGCCAUGGGUGACAUAGCUGGCGUGAAGAAGACUCUGAACGGCGUCGAUCAUUACUUGCUUCCGGCGAAUUACACCGGAUGGUACUUGACCAGACACAACGUACCCGAGCAGAGAUUAAACUACCUCACCGAGGAUGUUGGCCUCAACCAGUUCUACUUCAUGUUCAAUCACAAUUUCCCACCUUUCAUGCUUUCAAACUCGCUCAAUCUUCCACAAAUUCGUGGUGAAUUCUAUUUCUUCAUCCACAAACAACUGUUGAACAGAUACUACCUCGAGAGGCUUAGCAACGAUAUGGGUGAGGUUAGCUACGUGAACCUAAAUCGUCCCAUAUCGACUGGAUACUAUCCCACCAUGAAAUUCCGCAAUGGACUUUCCUUCCCUCAGAGAGAAACUGACGCUGUGGUUCCACUCCAUAUGCAGAAAUAUGUUAAAAUGAUCAAGGACCUCGACUUCAGGAUCUCAAUCGCCAUCGAUCUUGGCUAUGUCAUAGACGCACACGGCAACCACGUCAACUUAUACACGAAAGAAGGGCUGAACAUUCUUGGUAACAUCAUUCAAGGUAACGCGGACAGCGUUAACGUGCAAUUCUACGGACAAUUGGAUCCGCUCGUGAGAAAAGUCUUCGGUUUCGGUUACGAAUCCAACGUCAAGUAUCAAGUCGUCCCAUCCGCUCUUCAAAUGUGGUCUACCAGUUUGAGGGAUCCUGUAUUCUUCAGCAUCUACAAGACCAUCGUUGAUUAUUAUCACAAAUACAAGGAGAAUCUUCCGAAGUACACCAUGGAAGAAUUAAAUUUCCCAGGUGUAAGCAUCGAAUCCGUGUCCGUGGACAAACUCACCACUUACUUCGAUCAUUUCGAGUCCUUGUUGAACAAUGGAGUGUCGGUUCGUAGUCACACAGAAGCCAAGAACACCGUGAUCAAAGCUCGACAAUACAGGCUGAACCACAAACCUUUCACCUAUCACAUCACCGUGAACAGCGACAAGAAUACCAAAGGUGUAGUUCGUAUCUUCCUUGGACCGAAAUACGACGAGUUCGGCCAUGAAGUUGACCUCGUGCACAAUUACAUGAACUUCAUGCAGUUGGACGAGUUCGUGGUUAACCUGAAAAGCGGAAGCAACACAGUCGACAGAAGCAGCCACGAAUCCGUCUUCGUUGUCCCCGACGAUGUUCCCAGCGAUGUGCUGUACAAGAGGCUGGUGGCCAGCGAGGAAGGUAACGAGUCCUUCAAGUACUCUUCGCAGCCUUACGGCUUCCCCGACAGACUUCUCCUACCCAAGGGCAAGAAGGAAGGUAUGCCGUACAAUCUGCUCGUGGUCGUCACUCCGUUCGACGAGUCGAACGUCGUCCAAAUAGACUCCCCUGUAUGGGGUCGCAACGUUUACGACACGCAUCCUAUGGGCUUCCCUCUGGACAAACCUGUCGAUCCUUUGCUCCUCGUCCUGUCCAACAUCCACGUCACGGAGGUCCUCGUUCAUCAUAGGGAGAUGGAGGAGUUGAACGUUGCCCUGUAAACGUGUAGAAUUUAAUACGUAGAUUUGAUCUUUCUUCCUUACUUUUUUCUUUUUUAAAUUAUUUGCAAUUAGAGAGAAAAAAAAAAAUUCGUUUAAACGAGAAAGGAAGAGAGAUGUAGAGAGAAAAAAAGAGAUGUGAACGAAAUAAAAAGAUGUGAGAAUUA